Long non-coding RNA from Solea senegalensis (Senegalese sole), 293 nucleotides. RefSeq lists it as uncharacterized. Lineage: Eukaryota; Metazoa; Chordata; Actinopteri; Pleuronectiformes; Soleidae. The transcript is spliced from 3 exons. The record is from RefSeq and is a predicted model, not a curated record.
UCCUGCUGCUCUUUUGUGUUACUUCCUGCGGUAAAACAGCAAAUUUCGAGCCAACACAGACUGUAGCGAGUGCGCUGCUUCGCCCCUGGGUACACAGCAUCUCUAUGUGAAGAGAGUCUGAUGGAGUCUGAUGCCCUGCAGUAAUGGCUAGCCAUACCUGGUCAUAGCAGCCUUCUCAUUGCCUCAGGCAACUGCUAAGCAAUUCCACUCUGAAUACAAUGGGCUGCAGGCACAGUGAGACGUGUUCAAAGUCACAAGUGUGCCAUAAAACACCCAGCGGACAACAGAAGAAU